This 193-nucleotide non-coding RNA is filed under the name Niabella soli. RNAcentral also lists the same sequence under 1 other name. The record is from RNAcentral. Lineage: Bacteria; Pseudomonadati; Bacteroidota; Chitinophagia; Chitinophagales; Chitinophagaceae.
UUUUCAUCAACCGGAAAGGGUCCUUAAUGAAGAUUAGGGAUAAUAGGGAAUCGUGUUUCAAUCACGAGCUGUCGCGCAACUGUAAUCAGCCAAAGGCGUUGCCCAUGUAAUAUCCACUGUCCUGUUAAAAGGGAUGGGAAGGAUGGUAAACGCCGCUGUAAGCCAGGAGACCUGCCUUUUCCGUAGGAACAAU